UUGGAGGGCAAGUCUGGUGCCAGCAGCCGCGGUAAUUCCAGCUCCAAUAGCGUAUAUUAAAGUUGUUGCAGUUAAAAAGCUCGCAGUUGAACCUUGGGCUUGGCUGGCCGGUCCGCCUAACCGCGUGCACUGGUUCGGCCGAGCCUUUCCUUCCGGCUAUCCGCAUGCCCUUCACUGGGUGUGCUGGGGAUCCGGGACUUUUACUUUGAAAAAAUUAGAGUGUUCAAAGCAGGCCUACGCUCGAAUACAUUAGCAUGGAAUAAUAGAAUAGG
Molecule: ribosomal RNA, 272 nt
Filed under: uncultured Ascomycota
Lineage: Eukaryota; Fungi; Ascomycota
Description: partial 18S ribosomal RNA
Rfam family: Eukaryotic small subunit ribosomal RNA
Source: RNAcentral